GAUGAAGAACGUAGCGAAAUGCGAUACUUGGUGUGAAUUGCAGAAUCCCGUGAACCAUCGAGUCUUUGAACGCAAGUUGCGCCUCAAGCCAUUAGGUUGAGGGCACGUCUGCCUGGGCGUCACAUAUCGUUGCCUGAUGCCAGUUUCCUCGUGAUGGGUGACUGUGCAGGGCGAAUGAUGGCUUCCCGUGAGCAUUGUUGCCUCAUGGUUGGUUGAAAAUUGAGUCCUUGGUAGGGAGCGCCGUGAUAGAUGGUGGUUGAGUGACGAACGAGACCCAAUCAUGUGAGACCCCUACCGAAUUUGGCCUUCAUGACCCACAUGCGUCUUUGGAACGCUCAUGACGAGACCUCAGGUCAGGCGGGGCUACCCGCUGAGUUUAAUCAUACCAAUAAGCGCAGUA
This 400-nucleotide unclassified non-coding RNA is filed under the name soil metagenome. RNAcentral's name for it is "partial contains 5.8S ribosomal RNA, internal transcribed spacer 2, and large subunit ribosomal RNA". The stretch from base 1 to 122 matches the Rfam family "5.8S ribosomal RNA", at positions 35 to 154 of the family's 154-position model. The record is from RNAcentral.